AUUGAACGCUGGCGGCAUGCCUUACACAUGCAAGUCGAACGGUAACGCGGGGCAACCUGGCGACGAGUGGCGAACGGGUGAGUAAUGCAUCGGAACGUGCCUGGUAGUGGGGGAUAACUGCUCGAAAGAGCAGCUAAUACCGCAUACGACCUGAGGGGGAAAGGGGGGGAUCGCAAGACCUCUCGCUAUCAGACCGGCCGAUGUCGGAUUAGCUAGUUGGUGGGGUAAAGGCCCACCAAGGCGACGAUCCGUAGCUGGUCUGAGAGGACGACCAGCCACACUGGGACUGAGACACGGCCCAGACUCCUACGGGAGGCAGCAGUGGGGAAUUUUGGACAAUGGACGCAAGUCUGAUCCAGCCAUGCCGCGUGCGGGAAGAAGGCCUUCGGGUUGUAAACCGCUUUUGUCAGGGAAGAAAUCUUCUGGGUUAAUACCUCGGGAGGAUGACGGUACCUGAAGAAUAAGCACCGGCUAACUACGUGCCAGCAGCCGCAGUAA
Molecule: ribosomal RNA, 498 nt
Filed under: uncultured bacterium
Lineage: Bacteria
Description: partial 16S ribosomal RNA
Rfam family: Bacterial small subunit ribosomal RNA
Source: RNAcentral